Long non-coding RNA from Myzus persicae (green peach aphid), 911 nucleotides. RefSeq lists it as uncharacterized. The record is from RefSeq and is a predicted model, not a curated record. Lineage: Eukaryota; Metazoa; Arthropoda; Insecta; Hemiptera; Aphididae. The transcript is spliced from 3 exons.
UAGGUUGCGUAAGCAAAAUUCGUAGCUAUUAUUAUUUAUUACUAAUAUUUUUUUUUCACCCAGCAUAGCGUUCGAUUCGAGAAUUCUCUAACCAAGAGGAAUAGCGCACGACAAGAGGUGAAACGAAACGGCAAAUUCGCGAACGAAGUGCUACAAAAUUCACCAUUUCAUAGUUAGCUGUUGUAGACAGAUGAAUGAUGCGACGUAUCGACGCGUUACACGGAAAUCCCGGCCAAAUGUUUGCAAUGGACAGAGUAAUAUUAUUGCAGGCGACGCACGCGUGAGACGGAAUCACCGGAUCGCGUCGAUAGUUUAUGAAAAUCGUGUCGGAUAGUCACUCAAUUAACCAGCCGGAACGGUGCAGUAUAACGGUUUUAUAUAAUAUACGAUAUAUCACAACCGAACUUAUUGCAUCAGAAAUCGUUCUAGGAUGAUGUGCGCAAACCCUAUUAAAGUUCGAUCUUCAAGAGAUUUCAUCUGACACUUGCCGGUUUUGCACGAAGAAACGGUGCAUAAGGUUACACAGUUAUAUUGUGGGACUUGAAAGUUUAUAAGAGAUAAGAAAGCAGGGGAGUCCAAAGAAUUAGAUAACAGACCUCUUAGAAAAUACUUGCCUGACAUCCGCCUACAGUCAGCAUGAGAGAGUCUAGAUCAAGAGACUGGAGUGUAAUCGUGAGAGGGACUUUGCAGAAUGUCGAAAAUAUGAAUAUUAUAAUACCCUUCGUGCAGCACAAACGUCACGAUAUUACACAUAAUAAUUCAUCAUCCAAUAUUCACAGAGGCCAGAGAAUAAUGUCAAAUUCUAGACGACCGGCAUACAGCAAAAAUAUAUAGGACCUUAUUCUGACACAAAAAUAAUAAUUACUUUGUUUAAAAAAAAUUGAAAUGUACAACUUAUUAGCUAAUAUUAU